This 700-nucleotide ribosomal RNA is filed under the name uncultured bacterium. Its description in RNAcentral is "bacterial SSU rRNA". It matches the Rfam family "Bacterial small subunit ribosomal RNA", at positions 1 to 719 of the family's 1533-position model. The record is from RNAcentral.
UCGAUUGAGUUUGAUCAUGGCUCAGGACGAACGCUGGCGGCGUGCUUAACACAUGCAAGUCGAACGGUGAAGCCCCUUCGGGGGCGGAUCAGUGGCGAACGGGUGAGUAACACGUGGGCAACCUGCCCCUAGCUCUGGGAUAACCCCGGGAAACCGGGGCUAAUACCGGAUAUGGCCUCGGUGGACAUCCACUUUGGUGGAAAGUUUUUCGGCUAGGGAUGGGCCCGCGGCCUAUCAGCUUGUUGGUGAGGUAACGGCCCACCAAGGCGACGACGGGUAGCCGGCCUGAGAGGGCGACCGGCCACACUGGGACUGAGACACGGCCCAGACUCCUACGGGAGGCAGCAGUGGGGAAUAUUGCGCAAUGGGCGAAAGCCUGACGCAGCGACGCCGCGUGAGGGACGAAGGCCUUCGGGUUGUAAACCUCUUUCAGCAGGGACGAAGCGAAAGUGACGGUACCUGCAGAAGAAGCACCGGCCAACUACGUGCCAGCAGCCGCGGUAAUACGUAGGGUGCAAGCGUUGUCCGGAAUUAUUGGGCGUAAAGAGCUCGUAGGCGGUCUGUCACGUCGGCUGUGAAAACCCGAGGCUCAACCUCGGGCCUGCAGUCGAUACGGGCAGACUAGAGUUUGGUAGGGGAGACUGGAAUUCCUGGUGUAGCGGUGAAAUGCGCAGAUAUCAGGAGGAACACCGGUGGCGAA